GUCCUCGUGGAGCAAUGCAGCUCACUCCCGCAACAUACGAAGCAGUCGUAGGAAUGGUGUAUACCGGGAGAGCUGGUGGUUCGAAUCCACCCGGGGACA
Non-coding RNA from Mycena olivaceomarginata, 99 nucleotides. The record is from the annotation of a GenBank genome assembly. NCBI's taxonomy places the organism in Eukaryota, Fungi, Basidiomycota, Agaricomycetes, Agaricales, Mycenaceae.